GGGCGGGGUCCGGCGCCGGCGUCGGGCCGCGGAAGGCGCGGAAGGCGGGUUCACCUGGCGGUAGUGCAGCGUGAGCGGCAGCAGCUCCCCAGUCCUCGGUCACGGGGCCAAGCUUCUCACGACCCAGCCCGGGAUGUCGGACAGCAUCAUUUCCACUGCGUCCUAUGGGCCAGAAAGGCAGUGUGCUUCCCAGCCUUGGCCUGGCCACAUAGUGUCCUGGAGGCCAGAGUGAACAUCCGCCAGAGAGCCCAUCCUAGAAGCUGGUCCCGUCCUGCCCGGCGGGCC
Molecule: long non-coding RNA, 285 nt
Organism: Balaenoptera acutorostrata (minke whale)
Lineage: Eukaryota; Metazoa; Chordata; Mammalia; Artiodactyla; Balaenopteridae
Exons: 3
Source: RefSeq, a predicted model, not a curated record